UUAAGCGACUAAGCGUACACGGUGGAUGCCCUGGCAGUCAGAGGCGAUGAAGGACGUGCUAAUCUGCGAAAAGCGCCGGCGAGGUGAUAUGAACCUUUGACCCGGCGAUGUCCGAAUGGGGAAACCCAGUGCAAUCCGUUGCACUAUCGUUAACUGAAUACAUAGGUUAACGAGGCGAACCGGGGGAACUGAAACAUCUAAGUACCCCGAGGAAAAGAAAUCAACCGAGAUUCCCCCAGUAGCGGCGAGCGAACGGGGAGCAGCCCGGAGUCUGAAUCAGCUUGUGUGUUAGUGGAACGGUCUGGAAAGUCCGACGGUACAGGGUGAUAGUCCCGUACACGAAAGCACACAUGCUGUGAACUCGAAGAGUAGGGCGGGACACGUGGUAUCCUGUCUGAAUAUGGGGGGACCAUCCUCCAAGGCUAAAUACUCCUGACUGACCGAUAGUGAACCAGUACCGUGAGGGAAAGGCGAAAAGAACCCCGGCGAGGGGAGUGAAAAAGAACCUGAAACCGUGUACGUACAAGCAGUGGGAGCCUCUUUAUGGGGUGACUGCGUACCUUUUGUAUAAUGGGUCAGCGACUUAUAUUCUGUAGCAAGGUUAACCGUAUAGGGGAGCCGAAGGGAAACCGAGUCUUAACUGGGCGUUAAGUUGCAGGGUAUAGACCCGAAACCCGGUGAUCUAGCCAUGGGCAGGUUGAAGGUUGGGUAACACUAACUGGAGGACCGAACCGACUAAUGUUGAAAAAUUAGCGGAUGACCUGUGGCUGGGGGUGAAAGGCCAAUCAAACCGGGAGAUAGCUGGUUCUCCCCGAAAGCUAUUUAGGUAGCGCCUCGUGAACUCAUCUUCGGGGGUAGAGCACUGUUUCGGCUAGGGGGCCAUCCCGGCUUACCAACCCGAUGCAAACUACGAAUACCGAAGAAUGUUAUCACGGGAGACACACGGCGGGUGCUAACGUCCGUCGUGAAGAGGGAAACAACCCAGACCGCCAGCUAAGGUCCCAAAGUCAUGGUUAAGUGGGAAACGAUGUGGGAAGGCACAGACAGCCAGGAUGUUGGCUUAGAAGCAGCCAUCAUUUAAAGAAAGCGUAAUAGCUCACUGGUCGAGUCGGCCUGCGCGGAAGAUGUAACGGGGCUAAACCAUGCACCGAAGCUGCGGCAGCGACGCUUAGGCGUUGUUGGGUAGGGGAGCGUUCUGUAAGCCGUUGAAGGUGUGCUGUGAGGCAUGCUGGAGGUAUCAGAAGUGCGAAUGCUGACAUAAGUAACGAUAAAGCGGGUGAAAAGCCCGCUCGCCGGAAGACCAAGGGUUCCUGUCCAACGUUAAUCGGGGCAGGGUGAGUCGACCCCUAAGGCGAGGCCGAAAGGCGUAGUCGAUGGGAAACAGGUUAAUAUUCCUGUACUUGGUGUUACUGCGAAGGGGGGACGGAGAAGGCUAUGUCAGCCGGGCGACGGUUGUCCCGGUUUAAGCAUGUAGGCGGAGGUUCCAGGUAAAUCCGGUACCUUAUUAACGCUGAGGUGUGAUGACGAGGCACUACGGUGCUGAAGUGAUAAAUGCCCUGCUUCCAGGAAAAGCCUCUAAGCAUCAGGUAACACGAAAUCGUACCCCAAACCGACACAGGUGGUCAGGUAGAGAAUACCAAGGCGCUUGAGAGAACUCGGGUGAAGGAACUAGGCAAAAUGGUGCCGUAACUUCGGGAGAAGGCACGCUGAUAUGUAGGUGAAGUCCCUGCGGACGGAGCUGAAAUCAGUCGAAGAUACCAGCUGGCUGCAACUGUUUAUUAAAAACACAGCACUGUGCAAACACGAAAGUGGACGUAUACGGUGUGACGCCUGCCCGGUGCCGGAAGGUUAAUUGAUGGGGUUAGCGGCAACGCGAAGCUCUUGAUCGAAGCCCCGGUAAACGGCGGCCGUAACUAUAACGGUCCUAAGGUAGCGAAAUUCCUUGUCGGGUAAGUUCCGACCUGCACGAAUGGCGUAAUGAUGGCCAGGCUGUCUCCACCCGAGACUCAGUGAAAUUGAACUCGCUGUGAAGAUGCAGUGUACCCGCGGCAAGACGGAAAGACCCCGUGAACCUUUACUAUAGCUUGACACUGAACACUGGUCCUUGAUGUGUAGGAUAGGUGGGAGGCUUUGAAGCGUGGACGCCAGUCUGCGUGGAGCCAACCUUGAAAUACCACCCUUUAAUGGCUGGUGUUCUAACGUAGACCCGUAAUCCGGGUUGCGGACAGUGUCUGGUGGGUAGUUUGACUGGGGCGGUCUCCUCCCAAAGAGUAACGGAGGAGCACGAAGGUUGGCUAAUCCUGGUCGGACAUCAGGAGGUUAGUGCAAUGGCAUAAGCCAGCUUGACUGCGAGCGUGACGGCGCGAGCAGGUGCGAAAGCAGGUCAUAGUGAUCCGGUGGUUCUGAAUGGAAGGGCCAUCGCUCAACGGAUAAAAGGUACUCCGGGGAUAACAGGCUGAUACCGCCCAAGAGUUCAUAUCGACGGCGGUGUUUGGCACCUCGAUGUCGGCUCAUCACAUCCUGGGGCUGAAGUAGGUCCCAAGGGUAUGGCUGUUCGCCAUUUAAAGUGGUACGCGAGCUGGGUUUAGAACGUCGUGAGACAGUUCGGUCCCUAUCUGCCGUGGGCGCUGGAGAAUUGAGGGGGGCUGCUCCUAGUACGAGAGGACCGGAGUGGACGCAUCACUGGUGUUCGGGUUGUCAUGCCAAUGGCACUGCCCGGUAGCUAAAUGCGGAAGAGAUAAGUGCUGAAAGCAUCUAAGCACGAAACUUGCCCCGAGAUGAGUUCUCCCUGAGACCUUGAGUCUCCUGAAGGAACGUUGAAGACGACGACGUUGAUAGGUCGGGUGUGUAAGCGCAGCGAUGCGUUGAGCUAACCGAUACUAAUGAACCGUGAGGCUCAACCU
RNAcentral lists this ribosomal RNA (2903 nucleotides) under Enterobacter hormaechei. RNAcentral describes it as "23S ribosomal RNA". It matches the Rfam family "Bacterial large subunit ribosomal RNA". The record is from RNAcentral. Lineage: Bacteria; Pseudomonadati; Pseudomonadota; Gammaproteobacteria; Enterobacterales; Enterobacteriaceae.